UCAAGUUUGGCAUGUGUUUUAACACAUGUGAAGGUGUAGUCUUUUCUUCUUCAGCGGAUAUUUGUACAAGACCCCGUUCACCGUCUAUCAGCUCUAGCUCGGCAAGAAUAAAGCGGUUCCUUAGAAGUGGUGGAGGUGCUGGGGUUCUGCAUACCAAGGACGUAUAAGGUCACAAAGCUGCACCCAGGUAGAGGCAGAAUCCAAAAAUGCUUGUGUACUUAAGUAUAGCUGCACAUUACAGAAUCCGAGGCCCUCAAGAUUUAUCCGUAGCCCUCGUGUAGCCCACGAGUUCCAUAUCUUUUAUUGGGAUUGAAGAGUAACGCUUGUGCUGUAUCCUUCUAUUUCAGACUAAAUAAUGUGCAUGCAAAAUUAUAUCUUCAUUACUUUACACCAUUGCACCAAUAUCUGUUGUGCGUUGAUUUUCUGAUGUCCUUGCAUUUGCUAUAGCAAGGAUUUUUAAAAAUCAGCCACAAAAGAAAAAAAUAAAUGGUCAAGGAACGAAGCGGUGUGUAGCAGCUCCCUUUUUUUUAAUCGGCUGCAAGUUUUGCACUCGUGUGUUAGCAACACUGUUUCGCGAGUUGCGUACUUCAAAAGAAGUGUUACCUUUCUGCUUUGGAACUUUGUGGUUUUGUUCUGCCAGCUGCUUGACCAACACAAGCAAAAUGUACUUUGGAUAUUCCACAAAUUCAUUCUGUAUGCAUUUGGUACAAUAAAAUUUGUUUCAAGAAUGGACAAA
Molecule: long non-coding RNA, 736 nt
Organism: Dermacentor andersoni
Lineage: Eukaryota; Metazoa; Arthropoda; Arachnida; Ixodida; Ixodidae
Source: RefSeq, a predicted model, not a curated record